RNAcentral lists this ribosomal RNA (421 nucleotides) under uncultured bacterium. RNAcentral describes it as "bacterial SSU rRNA". It matches the Rfam family "Bacterial small subunit ribosomal RNA", at positions 355 to 774 of the family's 1533-position model. The record is from RNAcentral.
UAAGGAAUAUUGGUCAAUGGACGCAAGUCUGAACCAGCCAUGCCGCGUGAAGGAUGAAGGUCCUCUGGACUGUAAACUUCUUUUAUCUGGGACGAAAACGGGAUUUUUAUCUCAAUUGACGGUACCAGAGGAAUAAGCACCGGCUAACUCCGUGCCAGCAGCCGCGGUAAUACGGAGGGUGCGAGCGUUAUCCGGAUUUACUGGGUUUAAAGGGUGCGUAGGUGGGCUUAUAAGUCAGUGGUGAAAUCUCCGAGCUUAACUUGGAAACUGCCGUUGAUACUAUAGGUCUUGAAUUAUCUGGAGGUUAGCGGAAUAUGUCAUGUAGCGGUGAAAUGCUUAGAUAUGACAUAGAACACCAAUUGCGAAGGCAGCUUACUACAUAUAAAUUGACGCUGAGGCACGAAAGCGUGGGGAUCAAACA